Pieris brassicae (large cabbage white) is the source of this 411-nucleotide long non-coding RNA. RefSeq lists it as uncharacterized. The transcript has 3 exons. The record is from RefSeq and is a predicted model, not a curated record. NCBI's taxonomy places the organism in Eukaryota, Metazoa, Arthropoda, Insecta, Lepidoptera, Pieridae.
GUUUUUUAUUAAUUGUUGUCGCAACUCGCAUGCUGCAUGUUUGUAUUUUUAAUUUUGGAAGUUGUAUACAAUUGACCAAAUAUAUUUGUUGUUAGCGCACUUUUAUAUCUUGGACAAAACAAAUGGCAGAAAAUAGACUAGGGUUUCUGUACAAAGCUGCUGCCUUACUGGCGCAAACGGAAAAUAAAAGUUAUGAUAUCCUCAGAAGUCACUACUUGAUGAGAUGUCCUGAACUAAGAUUUUCAAAACAAAUUUCUAGUGGUCGCUUAAGUAAAGAAAGGUGUUCUUAUUGUUGUUUGGCAUGGAAAAAAGAUGCAAAAUUAAGGGUAAAUCCUAUGAAAUUGUCUAGAAGGCAGAAAAAAAGACUGAAGUCUAAAAAUAAUAGAACUCUAUAUAAUUCUAAGCAAGUGG